Molecule: ribosomal RNA, 859 nt
Filed under: Agaricus pallidobrunneus
Lineage: Eukaryota; Fungi; Basidiomycota; Agaricomycetes; Agaricales; Agaricaceae
Description: partial large subunit ribosomal RNA
Rfam family: Eukaryotic large subunit ribosomal RNA
Source: RNAcentral
UCCCCUAGUAACUGCGAGUGAAGCGGGAAAAGCUCAAAUUUAAAAUCUGGCGGUCUCUGGCCGUCCGAGUUGUAAUCUAGAGAAGUAAUGCCCGUGCUGGACCGUGUAUAAGUCUCCUGGGAUGGGGCGUCAUAGAGGGUGAGAAUCCCGUCUUUGACACGGACUACCAGUGCAUUGUGGUAUGCUCUCAAAGAGUCGAGUUGUUUGGGAAUGCAGCUCAAAAUGGGUGGUAAAUUCCAUCUAAAGCUAAAUAUUGGCGAGAGACCGAUAGCGAACAAGUACCGUGAGGGAAAGAUGAAAAGAACUUUGGAAAGAGAGUUAAACAGUACGUGAAAUUGCUGAAAGGGAAACGCUUGAAGUCAGUCGCGUUGGCCAGGGAUCAGCCUUGCUCUUGCAUGGUGUACUUUCUGGUUGACGGGUCAGCAUCAAUUUUGACUGCUGGAAAAGGGCCUUGGGAAUGUAGCAGCUUUGGCUGUGUUAUAGCCCCUGGUCGCAUACAGUGGUUGGGAUUGAGGAACUCAGCACGCCGCAAGGCCGGGUUUCGACCACGUUCGUGCUUAGGAUGCUGGCAUAAUGGCUUUAAGCGACCCGUCUUGAAACACGGACCAAGGAGUCUAACAUGCCUGCGAGUAUUUGGGUGGAAAACCCGAGUGCGCAAUGAAAGUGAAAGUUGAGAUCCCUGUCGUGGGGAGCAUCGACGCCCGGACCAGAACUUUUGGGACGGAUCCGCGGUGGAGCAUGUAUGUUGGGACCCGAAAGAUGGUGAACUAUGCCUGAAUAGGGUGAAGCCAGAGGAAACUCUGGUGGAGGCUCGUAGCGAUUCUGACGUGCAAAUCGAUCGUCAAAUUUGGGUAUAGGG